Mesoplodon densirostris (Blainville's beaked whale) is the source of this 2383-nucleotide long non-coding RNA. RefSeq lists it as uncharacterized. The transcript is spliced from 6 exons. NCBI's taxonomy places the organism in Eukaryota, Metazoa, Chordata, Mammalia, Artiodactyla, Ziphiidae. The record is from RefSeq and is a predicted model, not a curated record.
GGAAGCAGUGCUUUCUCCUCUAGCCUCUCAAAAUUGCUUUUCAACGCUGCGAGGCUGGAAUUGCAGCAAACAUAUUGCUACCAGCUUCAUGAUUUAGCCAACACACUGAGGAGGAAAAAUGGAUAAAGCCAUCCUUUGAAACCUGGCCUACUUCUGGAUUUUCAGUUAUGUGAUACACACAUGGCUGGCUUCCUCACUUCACUAGACCUGCUUGGCGAGUCCUUGGCUGACCACCUCUUCACUGGAGCUCUCCUCAGACAGACUCAUCCUUUACCUGCUCGGUCAUCCAUCACAGCAUCUGACAACAUAAGCUGCACUGUUGAUGGAAAAAGAAGGAAGUCUCCAGAAGAAGACCACAGAGCUUCCUUCUCAGCUUCUAAAGCUUUUGGAAAUUGAUUUUGCAUGCCUUUGUAUGAAACAUGUAGGAUUUCUAACAGAAUCUUUCAGACUGGCCUGUAAUGCAAGGGGAAACAGCUCCAGUGAAAGGAGAAUUCUAAGUGAUGAAUACAGAAAUUAGAUGAAGCUUCAAUCCUUGGAGCACAGACUUAUACAAGAAUAUAAACAUAAAUACAGUUUUUAUAAGCAAAGGAGAAGCAGUUUUCAUCUAUAGUGAAGGAACAGAAAGAUCCAGAAAACAAUAAACAAAGUUAUGCUAAAAAAUUUUUUCUGGCCUCCAAGAUACAGUUUUGCUACGUGACUACUUUGGCGCUUCAUGAGCCUGAGCCAUGUGGAGAGAAAACAUCAGUUGUUAAAUGCUGGAACUUAGUCCACAAAGGCUGGAAAUGCAGAUGAGAGACGUGUGCUCUGGACAACAGCAAAGCCUCUUCAGUUCCACAGCUCAAGCAAAACUGUGCUCAGAUGAAUAUCAGCUACCAAGAUUAAGUCACUGUUCAUGGUUCAUUUUAUCAGUUUUAGCAGAUGCAAAGUAUUACAUUCUUUAAAAAAAAAAUCAAAGCCAUCUUUUAUCUUUUACCGAAGUCAAAGGCAUCUUUUAACACCCUAUGAACUUCAAAAAGUGAAGUUUGAACUUAAGCUAGUUGAGUGUUUAGUUUUAGUUCUCAUUCUUUGGAUCCUAUUCAUUAAGCCCUAUUUAUAAAUUUAAAGAAUCAGGAUAGCAAAACUCCUGAAAAAUGUGCUUUUAAAAGAAAUGUGUCCCACCACCACCAUACCCACUGCCACACCACCACCACAAAAAGAAAGAAACGUUUAAAAAACAAGUGUUGAAGCUUUUUCGUGCAUUGUCUUAAAAGUUGUAUAGUGGAUGUGCUCAAAUUAAAUGUAUGGAUUGAUCGCCUUUUCAGAAACUGAAAAAUCAAAAUUCUUAUACAUCCUUUACUUGAAGUUUUAAAAAUUUUCUCUUUUCCAUUAUUCACGUCUAGUUUGAAUCCUAUUGUUUCAAUUUCCAGACUUGUUCUUUCAAACAGCUGGUUAAGCAUGACAUAUUAACAACACUUGUGAAUAUCCCCAAGCCCGACUAAAAAGACAGCGCAAGUAUACAGAAGGUAUAGUCAGAAAGGACAAGAAAAAGGGGAGGAGUCAAGCAUAUAGGAAACAUUUCAAAAAAUAUUGUGGCAGACAGGAAGCAAGUUGGGGGAGGGGCACUUGAUUCAAUCCACGUAGUUAAGUAAUGACCCAAGUUUCCCUAAAGGUGGGGAGGAGGACAUAUACUGAGGGGAUGCCAUCCCAAUAACCCUGAAGAACCCAUGAGACCCUAGGAUCCCGGGACCCACAAAAGUGAACUUGAGAUUCAGGGCAGAAAAAAGGGGAUUGGUCAAAAGCCAGCAGAGAAAGCAUUAGAGCCCUGGUUGCCUUAUUCUUUCUCAACCACCUCUGCCCACCACCAACUCCUCUGUCUUUAAAAGAAAAAGAGUGGAGAGAAUCUUGAGGAAACAGAGGCUAUGCAAGGUAUGAGACAGAAAAUCAAGUAUUCUAACUACUGAAUAAUAUUUUUAUGAUAUAUAGAUUUGGAAAAUAAUUUCCAUAAAAAUUGAAAGUGAGAAUAUUGCAAUCAGUUCAAGUAUUUGGUAUGCUUAUUUCAUAAUCGUGAGAGUUGUAGGGCUGUUUAAGGCACACAGCAAGUCUGUAAUACAUCAGACCCAUUGCACAGAUGAGAAAAUUAAGCCUUACAGAGAUUAAGCAAUUUACCCAAAAUCAAACAGCUAUUAGGUAGUGGUCCUAGUACUCAGACUCAGUGCUGUUGAUUACAAGCCUAAUGUUCUUACAACUACUCCAAAAUGCUUCAGAAAGUUUUGGUUUACAAUGACUCUGAACAAAGAGAAGAUUCUUCAGGAUAAAGAAAGAUGUGUAAUGGAAUAUUCCCUGCAAUUUUAGAACUUCUAAUUACUUCAUUGUUUAAUUAGAUUGAUGAAUUUGAAAUGUAAAG